Molecule: ribosomal RNA, 204 nt
Filed under: uncultured bacterium
Lineage: Bacteria
Description: partial 16S ribosomal RNA
Rfam family: Bacterial small subunit ribosomal RNA
Source: RNAcentral
UACAGAGGUCCCAAGCGUUGUUCGGAUUCACUGGGCGUAAAGGGUGCGUAGGUGGUGAGGUAAGUUUGAUGUGAAAUCUCCGGGCUCAACCCGGAAAUGGCAUUGAAUACUAUCUUGCUAGAGGAGUGGAGGGGGAGCUGGAAGUACUUGGUGUAGCAGGUGAAAUGCGUAGAUAUCAAGGAGGAACACCAGGUGGCGAAGGCG